RNAcentral lists this ribosomal RNA (460 nucleotides) under uncultured bacterium. RNAcentral's name for it is "partial 16S ribosomal RNA". It matches the Rfam family "Bacterial small subunit ribosomal RNA", at positions 338 to 795 of the family's 1533-position model. The record is from RNAcentral.
CCUACGGGGGGCAGCAGUGAGGAAUAUUGGUCAAUGGACGAGAGUCUGAACCAGCCAAGUAGCGUGAAGGAUGACUGCCCUAUGGGUUGUAAACUUCUUUUAUAUGGGAAUAAAAUGUUCCACGUGUGGGAUUUUGUAUGUACCAUAUGAAUAAGGAUCGGCUAACUCCGUGCCAGCAGCCGCGGUAAUACGGAGGAUCCGAGCGUUAUCCGGAUUUAUUGGGUUUAAAGGGAGCGUAGGUGGAUUGUUAAGUCAGUUGUGAAAGUUUGCGGCUCAACCGUAAAAUUGCAGUUGAAACUGGCAGUCUUGAGUACAGUAGAGGUGGGCGGAAUUCGUGGUGUAGCGGUGAAAUGCUUAGAUAUCACGAAGAACUCCGAUUGCGAAGGCAGUUCACUGGACUGCAACUGACACUGAGGCUCGAAAGUGUGGGUAUCAAACAGGAUUAGAGACCUUAGUAGUC